Molecule: long non-coding RNA, 182 nt
Organism: Juglans microcarpa x Juglans regia
Lineage: Eukaryota; Viridiplantae; Streptophyta; Magnoliopsida; Fagales; Juglandaceae
Exons: 4
Source: RefSeq, a predicted model, not a curated record
CCAAAACGAAACUUAGGUGUGAGAGAUGGGUGUGAUACCCCCAUAUGUUAUGGAUAAAGGUAGGUGGUGUAUGAGAUCCCACAUUGCUUGAGAAUGAGAAGUUCUUGCUCUUUAUAAUGUUCCAAUGAGGUUCCAAUUGUAUCAUUGACUAGUCUUUUUGGAGUAUAGGCCAUGUGGUUUGG